UACCAUGAAGAGCUUCAUCAAGGCUACCACCAGGAAGGUAAUCAUAGAGGAGAAGUUUUGAUGUGGGUGAAUUGCAGUAUCCACGUAGAUUCACGAGGUAACGGUGUUUGAUGCUUCCAAGAAUCUCAAGCUCCCUUUCGAAAAACCUAUCAAACCCUUCGUUUAACUUUACUAUUUUCUUCAGCGCAAAAACAUUGCCAUCCUCCAUGUCGAGUUUGUAAACUGUUCCAAAACCUCCACACCCUAUUAUAUGCUCUUCGUUAAGAGCUUCCAGUUUCUUGAUUAUGUCUUUAGAAGCAUAUGGCAGAUCUCCAUGGAACAUCACGAUAGACGCACCUGUAUAAACAAAACCGUCUCUCAUGGUGUCAAGUUUGAGAGUAAUAUAUAUAACCGAGUUCCAAAUUUUUUGAGGCUGCAUGGCUCACCUCCACUGACAUCUAUGGCAAGGCUUUUACUCUCAACUCUUCCAAGCUUUUUAUAAAGAAAGCAUCCCCAGAAACCCAUGAGCGCCACUAGGAGCAACCCACCCACAGUAGCUGAUGCACUUAUAAGCAGCUUAACGGUUUUACCUCCUUGGCCUAUAUAUGGGAGACCAAAAAGCGAAUUCAUGUCACAAAAAUUUCUACAGAAUAGUAAAAUCUAAGCUAUAAUUCAUAUACCCUGACAAGCAAAUUGAUGAAAACACAGCUAAUUUUUACCUGCCGUAGACCCAGUAGAAGAGUUUCCCCUGUCAUCUAGGCACACCACAUCAAUUUGUUUUCCACACAAGUUAAGAUUUCCAAUGAAGCUGCAGAGAGUAAUGCAUUCAAUUCAAGGUUCCGUUAUUUUCAAAGCUAGCAACAUGGUGCUGUUGUGCAGUCACGAAAAUAUAACUGUUUUGCCAGAUCAACAGAAGAGAAAGAGGUAAAGAUGAAGUAUACUUACGAGUCCUUUGAAAAUCGGGCGAGUAAGCUAUCAGAAGGUAUUUUUCCCUCCAGAAAAUUGUUUGAGACAUUGCUUCAAAAGAAGAAUCAACUAGUUAACAACAAUGACACUAGAAAGAUAUACACAUGGCUGCAAAUACGCAAGUUAAGUCUAGCUCACUCACAAAGUAGUCAGCUUCUCCAACUGCCCAAAUGAAACAGGGAUAGCUCCAUUGAGAUUGUUGUUUGAGAUGUCCCUUUAUAAAAAGAGAAAAAAUCAGUUUAGUAGUUCAGAAAAAUUCAAAUCAUAUGCCCAUUUGAUCUGAGUGAAGCCCUAGCAUAAACACUCAUCAUUAUAUUCUAGAAGGAGAGGGAGAAAGACUGCGUACAGAUCUUUAAGCGCAGACAAGUUUCCCAUUUCGCUUGGGAUUGUCCCAGUCAAGUAAUUGUUCUGCAAGUAUCUGCAUGCAAACAAUUUCAAACAGGUUUCUGUAAGCCAGCUAAGCUUUUAACUGAAAAAUAAAUAGGUUCAUCACCACUCACAAGACAACAAUCUUAUACACACAAUAAAGUCAGUUGUCACGAAAAUUCUAUUAAUUUAAGAAAACAAAAAAAAAAUCUCAGAAAUGAAGUGUAACUAGCAUAAAUAUUGUUAUGGGAAAGCACUUACAUUCCCUCCAAUGCUGUGCAAUUUCCCAAUGCUGCAGGUAUUGAGCCAUAUAAAGCGUUGUUAUGAAGCAUUCUGCGAUACCAAGGGAAUACAGAAACGUUAUGCAUGGGGGAUACUCUAAUCAGAAAUAAAAUUUAAAUAAGGUUGGCACAUACAAAAGCCUCAACUGAUCCAGCUGUCCAAGCUCAGGAGGUAAAGGUCCCCUUAACGUCUGAUGAUCAAGAUUCCUGCGCACAAGAAACAUUAGGGAUGAGCAAAAGAUGCAGCAUAUACUAACGAAAAAGUAGUUAAAACCAAACAAGUUUCAAAACUUACAAGGCUACAACUCUUUUUGUUUUAGAAUCACAAGUCACUCCCUUCCAGUUACACGGAUCAGGAUCCUCUGGUCUCCACUGACUGAUGCCACCAUCAGAUUUAGAAACUCCACUUCUAAAACUCACAAGCGCCUCACCUAGUAAAAGAAAGGAACACAAAAGAUUUAUUAUAAAUUAUUGUCAAAACACAAACUACGGAAGAGAUUUGAAGGAAACAAAUCGGAUGUACCAUCAGGACUAAGCGCGUCAUUAACAAUCGUCAGUGCACAAAGAAAAGUGAUGAAAAGAAGCCUUGAGCAGCAGUGGUUCCUCACACAGAUGCCCAUGGCAGCGUUCAAGCAUAGUGAUUGCCAAUCAUCUGAAAGAACAACCUUCAGAAUCCUCCCCUCGUAUCAUAUACUCAGUGAUGCUCUUUCUUUCUUGAAGAAACACAAAGAGACUCGACUCCUGAGGAUAAAAGUAUCAUUAGAUUGUAUAACAACAAUAACAAGCAGAGCCCACCCCUUUCAGUAACAAGACUCAAUCAAAACAAGAUUCCAGAUUCUUCUUCUAUUGACCUCAAUUACGCAUCAAGCUUCCCACAACAUCAAUUCAAAGAUCAUUGCAUGGCUCUCUCUCAUCUACAUCUACAGCACUCAGAGGCUGCAACAGUGAGGUAGUCCCAAAUCGGAUCAAAUCCAUCUCCCAAUUUUCCAGAAUUAGAAAUCGAAAUUGCAAUUCUAAUCAAAUGAACCUAAUAAACUCCCUCCCUCUCUAACGAGAAGCUAAAAUCUGACUAUCAUCGCAGUCACAGCACAAGUAGAACUCUAGCCGUAGAAACAAUCUUAAAACGAAAUCGAGAUCGAUUCACACACUCUUUUGGGAGAUCAACACGAACCUGAGAAUGGAUCCGCGAGGAGGAAGGAGGAGGAAGACGACGAAGUUGAGCUGUAAAGCAAACACUUUACGACUUCACAAAAAAUAAUCUGACUUUUUUUUUUUUAAUUUAAUUUUAAUGAGAGAGAGUGAAGAGAGAGAGUGAAGAGAAGGAAUCGGCUGGUUACGUACGACCCAAUGAGAGAGGCGAAGUGGAGUUCACACGUGCUGAGCCGUGACUUCCCGCACGUGUCGACCGACGCUUUCUAUGGAAAACCCAAUAAUGUUAUUCUUCACGGGGCUAGAGCUUGUUGGGUUUUGGGGGGGGGGGGGUGGGUCUGUUAAGUAUAAUAUGGGCCCAAUAAGCCCAUAAUUAUAAAACCGGUUAACAAUAGCAACUAGCAACCGAGAAACUGAAAUAUUAGAAUUUAGAAAUGGUUUUCCUGUUAAAGUGACAAAAAAAAAAGUGUGCGACUCUUGUGCACAAAAAAAAAAAAUGUGCAACUCACAUUUUUGUAUCUUAAAUUUGAAAAUUUUUUCUGUUAGAUGACAAAUUAUGCGACUUUUUUGUUUGAAUUCUAAUUUGUCUCUGUUAGCAGAUAAGUUGGCAAGAAUAUCAUGAUUCUGGAGCUCUUGGUUUUGCAUUCGCUUUGUAUUGUAGGUGAUUGAAAUCUGGCGAUGUGUUGGGAAGCUUACAAAAGCUCAAAAAGAGUACAUGCUUGAUGAAAAAAUUAAAUGGACCUAAACUCCUGCUUCAUUGUUGUAUUUGUGAAUUUUGUUUUCAUCCUAUAGCACAUAUAAUUAGUAGUUGCAAAUCAAUUGGAAAACUGAAUAACAUGGAUUUUAGAUAGAAUCUAGCAAAACCAUAAGUCUAAACACCAAGAGAGACAUCAUAUAUAACACACAAAGAGCCAGAGCCAAAACCACCAACAAAUUAUCCAACUACAUAUAGUCACAAGACUCUCUUAUUACAAAAUCGCAAGACUCUUUAUCUUAUUACAAAAGAAAAUCUUCUUCAUACGCUCUAGCUCUUCCUUGCAAGAACCUGACAAGCAAACCAAAAAAAAAAAAAAAAUUAAGGAGACUGUUUGAAGCAUUUAUCGAACUAAGGAACCCGAAGUAUUUAAGUACAAAUUAAAAAAAAAAUAAAAAAAAUAAAGCUACAAAUUAACCUCAGCUAGUUUUUCCUCGAAUUUUAGCAAUUUGUUAACGAGGUAUUUCAGCUCAUCCUGAGUCAAAUCCGCGACGUUGAUGCUAGCCAUAGCCUUCGUGAGAGACUCAACUUGCUCAUCAGCACUGGAUCUACCCAUCACAUAAAAAUGUUGUGUUUAUAUACCUGAGAGUAGGGACCCUUCUAUUUAUCUCACUGUUAAUUGGUUUUAUAAUUAUAUGCCCUUAUUUGUUACGACCCAACAGACUAGUUUAGAAUGAUCGUCCUCAACAGACCCAUAUUAGGAGGAUUAUUCUUCAAGAUCCUGGUUAAGAUAAUCCUCAUGAUAUUAAUGGUUUUCUUCAUUAGUUCGCUUUGGACAUUUGGGGUUUCAAUCGGGUUUCGGUUUUAUCCAAUCGGAUUUCGGUUAUUCGGGUUUAUAAAAAUCAGUCCCAUUCGGAUUAUAUGAAAGUUAACCGGUUCGGGUUCUAUCGAGUUCAGGUCGGGGUUAGUAAAUCUUCAAAGAACAAGUACAACCCGAUAUACUUUCGGGUUAGAGUCCCAAUCGAUUAUUUGGUUUAAAAGUACCUGAUUUAUACUUAAUUUGUAACCAAAUAUAAGUAAAAACGGUUCUUCGGUUUUAAAGUACCUGAUUUGUACAUAUUUUAUAAUUAAGACAUAAGUAAAACCGAUUCAAAAUAAGAAAGAAACAUCAAACGUGAUCAUUUAAAAUCAAACGAAAAGUAAACAUAUUUAUUGAUUAAAAAGAAAAAACCAAAUAAAUAAAAGUAUAAAACGAAAACUAAGUUCUAAUGAGCUGAGAAACGUUAUUCAAUGAAAACAAAACUAAAAUCUAAAAUUUAUCUAAAAUUUCAAUCCUCAACUGUGACAUUCAACUAUCAACCUUCGUAUAAUAGAAAAUUAUUUUAGAUGUUCAAUAAUAUAUUGAUCAAAAAAAUAAAAUAGGAGAAAAAAGUAGGAGUCGUACUCGUUUGAAGUAUAUCUGUGUGGAUUGACUUGAUUGAUAGAAUUCUUGUUUGUUUUGAUGUUCUUAUAUUCUGUUCAUUUUGAUCAAAAAAAAAUAUAUAUAUUAUGUUCAUCAGGGGACUGUUACCCCUAAUCUUCUUAAUCUUUUUGAUUGGUUGUUAUACAUUUAUUACUGAAAGCUGCAAGCACGGGCAAUGAUGGUCACAGUUUUUGCUAAAUAUACUAAUUAAGGACUCCAAUAAGGUGUAACGGUUUAAGAUAUCACAAGGACGAUAAAAAGAUUUGAUUUUUGUGAGUUUAAUCUGCUGGAGGCUGGUAGAAUUAAAUAUGUGGAUUUAGACUUGAAGAUUGAGGGUAUUUUAGGCAAGAACAAGUAGAUGGGCUUGAAGAAGCAGAUAUCUUUUAAAAACUUAUAGCUUAUAAUCGUAGUUUGCAAACUGGAGUCUAGAGUCUAGCAAAGAGAACACAAGUCUGUAGAUAUAAUCACAUCACCAGAGAUUUUAAAACACAAGCAACCAUAAGUACAUAGUCUUAUAAUUAUUCAAGAAAAAAGAGUCAAUCUCUGUCCUGUGCCCCCACAAGAAGGAUUAUGUUCAGUCACAGAGAGCCAUGGUUGUGUCCAAGGAGAUUGAUUCCUAGAUGAUCCAAGAAAAAAAAAAGUUGUCAGAAGAGUAAAAAAAAUUCAGAAUCAACACAGUGGAUAAUAAAAUAUAUAUUUUUCUACCUUGCUGACUCGGGCGGCAUGUUUUAUCUUGUCCAUCUCUUGCAUUACGUUCAUAAGAGCACGCGUUAUAUCAAAGCCCAACACAUACAGCUCAGCGUAACUCAUACCGUCAAGCUCUUUACCAAUCAUUCGUCUGUAAUGAGCACACACACACACCCAAUCAGUGAAAAAGACAGGCACAAGCAGCAGAAAAUAAUAUAUUUAAAAGGAGGAGGGAGGGGGAAUGAAUGUUUGUUUACAUACUGGCUCAAAAGCAGCAGUCUCUUCUUCUCGAUCUUCAAAGACUCGAUGGUUAACAUCUGCAAGAACAUCAGACAAUAUAUGAGAGGCGACAAGACAUGAGAGGUGAGAGAAUAUGGGCAAUGAAUAUCGAUACUCACCAGUUCUUCAUGGUCAUGACUAUGCUCCUGUUGGCUGUCUUGAGGGCUGUAUCCACAAGAAGAUCGGUGAUGAUUUCAUCUUUAGGAAAGAAAAUUUGAUAAUAGCUCUAAGCCUACUUAAUUACCUGAGGCGGAGUUCUCUAGACUUGUUCCUCACAGCUGUUCUUCUUCUUGACAGACGCGCUUGAUAGGCCAAAUCCUCUUUCUCGAGUUUGUCAGUCCAAUCCAUCCCCAUAACAACGCUCUCCACAAUCUGAAACGAGAUGAUGAUGUCAAAAUCGGUAUAUACAACAAACAGAAAAAAAAAAACCAAUGAUCAGAGAUCUAUACCUGCAUGGUUGCGAAGUCAUAAUAGGCCUGAAACAAAAGGUAAGGAGGGCUUAUUAAAAAUCAAACCUAUAUGAUUGGGAAAAAAAAAUAAUAACAAACACAACCUUGUCGGUUUGUUCUUCCACAACGACUAAACCCUGGUUUAGCAUGUUUUCAAUUGAAGAUAGCUCAGAGUAGCUCAGACCAUUGAGCCCCUCACCAUUCAGUUUCCUAUAAUGGUUUUCCAAUAAGUCAAAAAAGAAAGGGGAACCGAACAAAAAAAAAAAAAAAACAAGGGGUUAAAAGAGUCUUACUCGUUGGGAAUCUGUAACAACUUGAUCUCCUCCUGCUGUAAGAACACACGCAACAAAAAAGAUUCUUGUAAGAAUGAAUUAAAAAAAAAAAAAAAAAAAAAAAAAUAAAUUAAAAAAAAAAAAAAAAAAAAGACAAGUCUUUUGUAAUUGAAGGUCGAGUGCAUACCAAUUCUUGGAUAGCUUGAAUAUACUGGAGCCUUUGUUGUACAGAGGUGCGUGUACAUCUGUGGAAGAAUAAGAACAAAAAGUCAGUCUCAAUUGAAUUAUCUGAGAGCCAAAUCAAACCAAACCCUAAGCUAGGUCAGACUCUAGGAUCGAAACCAACAACAAAUAACUAAUUCAGACAAGUCUUUUGUAAUUGAAGGUAACGAUGUUUGAUGCUUCCAAGAAUCUCAAGCUCCCUUUCGAAAAACCUAUCAAACCCUUCGUUUAACUUUACUAUUUUCUUCAGCGCAAAAACAUUGCCAUCCUCCAUGUCGAGUUUGUAAACUGUUCCGAAGCCUCCACAGCCUAUUAUAUGCUCUUCGUUAAGAGAUUCCGGUUUCUUGAUUAUGUCUUUAGAAGCAUAUGGCACAGUUAUUUUUCCCUCCAGAAAAUUGUUUGAGACAUUGCUUCAAAAGAAGAAAGACUGCGUACAGA
This 7244-nucleotide long non-coding RNA is filed under the name Brassica napus (rape). RNAcentral describes it as "long non-coding RNA (BNAP_LNC016522)". Lineage: Eukaryota; Viridiplantae; Streptophyta; Magnoliopsida; Brassicales; Brassicaceae. The record is from RNAcentral.